CGUAGGAGGCGAGCGUUAUCCGGAUUCACUGGGCGUAAAGCGCGUGCAGGCGGUUCGAUAAGUUGGAUAUGAAAUCUCCUGGCUUAACUGGGAGAGGUUAUUCAAUACUACCGGACUAGAGAGUGGUAGAGGAAGAUGGAAUUCCAGGUGUAGUGGUGAAAUGCGUAGAUAUCUGGAGGAGGCACCAGUGGCGAAAGCGAUCUUCUGGACCAUUUCUGACGCUCAGACGCGAAAGCUAGGGUAGUAAACGGGAUUAGAGACCCCGGUAAUCCUAGCCGUAAACGAUGUAAACUUGGUGUCGGUGGCUUUAACUCCUUCGGUACCGAAGCUAACGCGAUAAGUUUACCGCCUGGGGACUACGAUCGCAAGAUUA
RNAcentral lists this ribosomal RNA (373 nucleotides) under uncultured organism. Its description in RNAcentral is "bacterial SSU rRNA". It matches the Rfam family "Bacterial small subunit ribosomal RNA", at positions 526 to 896 of the family's 1533-position model. The record is from RNAcentral.